This 157-nucleotide non-coding RNA is filed under the name uncultured Selenomonas sp. Lineage: Bacteria; Bacillati; Bacillota; Negativicutes; Selenomonadales; Selenomonadaceae. The record is from RNAcentral.
GGUGUCGAAAGACUUAAUAGGGAAGCCGGUAAAGUCCGGCGCGGUCCCGCCACUGUAACAGGGAGCGACUUUGCAAGAUAUGUCACUGGAGAGGGAGAAAGCCUCUUUGGGAAGGCGCAGAGGAGCGAUGAACUGGAGCCAGGAGAACUGCCUGAUU